UACGGGAGGGGCAAGCGUUGUUCGGAAUUACUGGGCGUAAAGGGCUCGUAGGCGGCCUACUGAGUCAGACGUGAAAUCCCUCGGCUCAACCGGGGAACUGCGUCUGAUACUGGUGGGCUCGAAUCCGGGAGAGGGAUGCGGAAUUCCAGGUGUAGCGGUGAAAUGCGCAGAUAUCGGGAGGAACACCGGUGGCGAAGGCGGCUCUCUGGGCCUGUCCUGACGCUCAGGCGCGAAAGCUAGGGGAGCAAACAGGAUUAGAAACCCCCAGUAGU
RNAcentral lists this ribosomal RNA (272 nucleotides) under uncultured bacterium. Its description in RNAcentral is "partial 16S ribosomal RNA". It matches the Rfam family "Bacterial small subunit ribosomal RNA", at positions 524 to 794 of the family's 1533-position model. The record is from RNAcentral.